RNAcentral lists this transfer RNA (162 nucleotides) under Nannochloropsis oceanica. RNAcentral describes it as "tRNA-Asn". The stretch from base 3 to 74 matches the Rfam family "tRNA". Lineage: Eukaryota; Eustigmatophyceae; Eustigmatales; Monodopsidaceae. The record is from RNAcentral.
AAUCCUCAGUAGCUCAGUGGUAGAGCAAUCGGCUGUUAACCGAUUGGUCGCUGGUUCAAGUCCAGCCUGGGGAGUUUUCACAGUUAAAAAGCUAUGUACAUCAAAUAUCUUGAAAAUUUUAAAUAUAAUAAAAUUAUUAUAUUUAAAAUUUUUAACUACUUU